GUCAUUCUAGAGACACUUUCCAGUACAUCUACUAUGUUACGACUUAUCUUAUCUUAGAACAAGAGCGACGGGCGAUAUGUACAUAUUUUAGAGCUAAAAUCAAUUUAAUAAUCUUUUUAAAUUUACUAACAAAUCCACCUUCAACCAAAUAUUUCAAUUCAAUAUCCAUAAUAAAUAUUAAAUUUAUUGUAAUCCAUCUAUAACUUAUACAUAAACUGCACCUUGACCUGAUAUUAAUUUUUAUAUAAAAUAUUGAAAAUUAACUUUUUCAAAAAAUCUUCAAUAACGGCGAUAUACAAAUUGAAAAACAAAUAUAAGAAAGGUCCAACGUGGAUUAUCGAUUAAAUGACAGAUUCCUCUGAAUAGACUAAAAUACCGCCAAAUUUUUUAAGUUUCAAGAUUUUAACAAAUACUACUCAAGUUUCAAAAAUUACAAUUUAAAUAAUAGGGUAUCUAAUCCUAGUUUAAUAUUAAAUUUUGCAAGCCUCAAUCAUAAUUUUAAAAAAUAAAAAUUUAAAUUUUAUAAGAUUUAACCCAUCAUAAAAUUUUAAACUAUAUUAUAAAAAAUCAAAAUUUAACUCUAACCAAAAAGAUUUAUUUGAAAACUUUGUAUAACCGCGACUGCUGGCACAAAUUUAGUCAAUCCUACACAUAUUACUAUUUCUAAAAUUACUUAAAUAAAUAAUAUUAAUUACUGCAAAUAAAUUUUUUUACUUCUUUAAACUUUAAGAAUAAAGAGCAACCCCACAAAAAUUUACAUGUAAAAUAAAUAAUUAACAAAUCUUUAAGUCAAAAUAAAACUUUAAU
RNAcentral lists this ribosomal RNA (807 nucleotides) under Geron pallipilosus. RNAcentral describes it as "12S ribosomal RNA". Lineage: Eukaryota; Metazoa; Arthropoda; Insecta; Diptera; Bombyliidae. The record is from RNAcentral.